GUCAGCAGGAAGUCAGGUGUCAAUGGAUCUCUGUGCCCACUCCAAGCCACUAGAAAACCUGGCUCUUCCUACUAGUGAGAAAAGGCCCAAGACAAGACCUGAGGCAACUAUGUGGUACCCAGCAACAGAAAAGGCUUCACAAUGCCAGAAUUGGGUCUGCCAAAGAAAAACGUACAGAAGAGAACCUUAAAGAGAUUCAGUCAUAGUGGAGGACAAGCAGAAACGGCACUUACAACCAGUUGGUAGGGAAC
RNAcentral lists this long non-coding RNA (251 nucleotides) under Chinchilla lanigera (long-tailed chinchilla). RNAcentral's name for it is "lncRNA (ENSCLAG00000024112.1)". The record is from RNAcentral. Lineage: Eukaryota; Metazoa; Chordata; Mammalia; Rodentia; Chinchillidae.